RNAcentral lists this ribosomal RNA (730 nucleotides) under uncultured bacterium. RNAcentral describes it as "bacterial SSU rRNA". It matches the Rfam family "Bacterial small subunit ribosomal RNA", at positions 28 to 776 of the family's 1533-position model. The record is from RNAcentral.
GAUGAACGCUGACAGAAUGCUUAACACAUGCAAGUCGACUUGAAGCAACUUCGGUUGUGGAAAGUGGCGGACGGGUGAGUAACGCGUAAAGAACUUGCCCUUCAGUCUGGGACAACCAUUGGAAACGAUGGCUAAUACCGGAUAUUAUGGAACUCUCGCAUGGGAGGAUCAUGAAAGCUAUAUGCGCUGAAGGAGAGCUUUGCGUUCCAUUAGCUAGUUGGUGAGGUAAUGGCUCACCAAGGCGACGAUGGAUAGCCGGCCUGAGAGGGUGAUCGGCCACAAGGGGACUGAGACACGGCCUUUACUCCUACGGGAGGCAGCAGUGGGGAAUAUUGGACAAUGGACCAAAAGUCUGAUCCAGCAAUUCUGUGUGCACGAUGAAGGUUUUCGGAUCGUAAAGUGCUUUCAGUUGGGAAGAAGAAAGUGACGGUACCAACAGAAGAAGCGACGGCUAAAUACGUGCCAGCAGCCGCGGUAAUACGUAUGUCGCAAGCGUUAUCCGGAUUUAUUGGGCGUAAAGCGCGUCUAGGCGGGUUCAUAAGUCUGAUGUUAAAAUGCGGGGCUCAACUCCGUAUUGCGUUGGAAACUGUGAACCUAGAGUAUCAGAGAGGUGGGCGGAACUACAAGUGUAGAGGUGAAAUUCGUAGAUAUUUGUAGGAAUGCCGAUGGAGAAGUCAGCUCACUGGAUGAAUACUGACGCUAAAGCGCGAAAGCGUGGGUAGCAAACAGG